Long non-coding RNA from Cyprinus carpio carpio, 2082 nucleotides. Lineage: Eukaryota; Metazoa; Chordata; Actinopteri; Cypriniformes; Cyprinidae. The record is from Ensembl.
GUUCCUUAAUCCCUGUCCUUUUAAAAAAACAGCACCUCAUUACAUCGGAAAAAAGGCACUUUUUAAGAGCCACAUUUGUUUUGUAUCUUGUUACUCUCUCUACUGUUGUAUUGUGUUCUCUCUCUCUCUUGCUGUCUUACUGUCUCUCCCUCCCCUCUGAGUGGGGUUUUUGUUUGUUUGUUUUGUCUUUUUUUGUCCCUGAGUGUUUAUAGUGUGUUUAUAUUUUGUGCCAUGUCUGAUCCUGAGAUGGACCGUCUCCUGAAUGAGAUGAGUGACCUUGUCGAUCAGGCUGAACAUCAAGCUCACCUCCAACAGCUCAUUAGCAUGCACCAGGAAGCAGAACCAUCCACCGGUCAGCCUUCCACCAGUAAUCCAUCCACCAGCCGGCCAUCAAAAAGCAAGCAAGAUGUUAGGUGGAUUAAGAGGGACAGUGAUGGAAACAUUAUUUACGGCAGGCCCAGAUCAUCCCGGAAACAAGCAGCAGGUCCCAGUCACAGCCAGAGUCGAAAGACUGGUGUCUCUCAUAUCAGGGCUCCUGAAACCAGUGCGGAAAUGACCAGUGACUUUCCUUCCGUUACUGCAGAGUCCUUCCUUCAAGAGUUUAAAAGCUCACUGUUUGAGGAAAUACAUGACGAUGAAACGGUACUUCAAGCCUCAACAGACUGGUCGACCCGAAAGAGCCUCAUAUCAGGGUGGUGGGAGAAAGAGAGACCCCGACUGGUCAACACCAUGGUGGCUCGACAACAUGCGGCAACUCGGAUCUGCCAACAUUGUGGAAAUGGUCCAGCCGUAAUCCGUUGUUGUGACUGCCGACCACACCCAUUCCUCUGUGGUCAGUGUGAUGUCAGGGUCCACCGAGGUCAAGUGUUCCACAACAGGGAUUCGAUGACACAUGCAUUCUUUCAUCCAUUGCCUCCCACAACUUGUGUUGUGGAGAGGGUUCUAACCCAGUGUGUGCGUCUUGUACCUUUGGAGAUGCCAGAGACAAUAUGCGGUUGUCUACGAGUAUCGUCCAGUGUCAUCGCAGGACAGUCCAUAGUUGUGGUUACAAUGAAUGGGCGAUAUGAUCUCAGAUUGCCUCAGAUUAGAUGCAAAGCAUGUGAAGCCACUUGGAGUCCUGGAGUGGAUGACCUGAUCCGUAAUGACUACUGGCCUGCCACUUCUCACUAUUCAACUGUGUAUGCAACAGAUGUCCUUUUUUCUUUUGAAGAACUGAAGAUGGCAGCACCAGGGAUGUCUAGCCAAGCAUUUCUUAGAAUGCUGGAUCAACGCACUGUUCGCUUUGGCCGUAGCGGAAACAUCACAGCAGACAGCUUCCGGAAAAGCUUUUUGGAGUGGGAAGCUGUCCGAUUCGAAGUGGACAAAUUAUGCCAGGAGGACCACUUUGACUGCCCAGCGUGCAGCCCAGACAUGCUUGCAGUAUCCGUUGAUGGAAACCGUAAGCACUACAGAUUCAAGAGUGCAGCAAGAUCGGAGGAAAAAGCCAUCUUUGAUGGCGUGUUCAUCGCAAAUGAUGAUGAUGUAGCAAGAUUCGUUGACUAUGUCCAUACCUCAACCAGUCAUGUCUCUGGAAGAGGUGUCUGUGGAGGGCAAUGGUCAGCGGCACGUGAAACGUCUCAGAAGUCCUCAGGAAAAACAGACGAGGAGGGCCUGGAGCUCGCUGUAUGUCGUCAUGGGGUUCUCCUUCGUGCCCUCAAUAUGUUCAGGGGGGAGAUUUUUGCCUACCCCCUGUACCUCCGAAAGCAAAUGGCCUGUAAGCCAGUUAAAUUUUUUGCAAUGGAUGUGGCAUGCAAGUACUGGCCUUACCUCCAGAGAGUGACAGAGAAAUGCCCUGAGCUUGAGGAUCUCCUCACCAUGAGGCCAUUUCUUUCUGUUUUUCAUGCCAAAGCUCAUGAUUUCAAAUGUGAGGUAAAAUGGAGUGGAGCAUAUCAGGAGGGGGCUGGUUCGACUCUUGGGGAAGAGGUGGAGCAGUGCAACGCCUUCCUCUCGAGGAUUGCUGUUACGACAAAGCACAUGUCAAAAGCAGGACGCAUAGACAUGCUGACGAUCAUGGCCAUGCGCUGGAACCAACAAAAAGUUUGA